CAGCAGCCACGGGAACACGUAGGGGGCGAGCGUUAAUCGGAAUUACUGGGCGUAAAGCGUGCGCAGGCGGUUGUGUAAGACAGGUGUGAAAUCCCCGGGCUUAACCUGGGAACUGCGCUUGUGACCGCACAGCUAGAGUAUGGCAGAGGGGGGUGGAAUUCCAGGUGUAGCAGUGAAAUGCGUAGAGAUGUGGAGGAACACCGAUGGCGAAGACAGCCCCCUGGGCCAAUACUGACGCUCAUGCACGAAAGCGUGGGGAGCAAACAGGAUUAGAUACCCGCGUAGUCCCUGUCUCUUAUAC
This 301-nucleotide ribosomal RNA is filed under the name uncultured bacterium. Its description in RNAcentral is "partial 16S ribosomal RNA". It matches the Rfam family "Bacterial small subunit ribosomal RNA", at positions 509 to 807 of the family's 1533-position model. The record is from RNAcentral.